Non-coding RNA from Kogia breviceps (pygmy sperm whale), 427 nucleotides. Lineage: Eukaryota; Metazoa; Chordata; Mammalia; Artiodactyla; Physeteridae. The record is from RefSeq and is a predicted model, not a curated record.
UGGGUGGAGGGGUGUUUGGGAUAUUUCAUACCAGUAAAAUGAUUUGCUAUAUGUUUUAGUAAUCAGUAUACAUACUUUUUUUCUUCCUAUCCAUUUCAUUCUAAAAGGUAUUUGAAGAGUUCCUCCGAGAUGACGGCAUAAGAAGAGCCUGAACUCACUUCCCGUGGACACACUGAUUUUACACCUACAUACAGAGCAAUUUCUCCUGAAGAAGAACUAAGGGCUGAUUGAACAGCUUCUGCACAACCGACCAUAGAGGGACCACACAGAGACAGUUGUCCUCAUUCUACUCUAAGCCCGUUUCUUCAACUGUAGAAAGAGAAUACAUGCCUACCACUCUGACACCUGGAUGCUCCAUCCCUGGCGCUGAGUAGCUGCCACCCCUUAGCACUGGGUGCUGCCGAGCCUGCUGCUGGUGCUCAAGAAA